RNAcentral lists this ribosomal RNA (492 nucleotides) under Pachygrapsus planifrons. Its description in RNAcentral is "partial 12S ribosomal RNA". Lineage: Eukaryota; Metazoa; Arthropoda; Malacostraca; Decapoda; Grapsidae. The record is from RNAcentral.
AUUUAGAACUAUGAAAGAGUAAAAUCAAUUUUAUAGGUUAAUAAAAAAGGAAAAUUUUAAUUGAAGUCAAAAAAAGAGGAGGAAAAACUAGGAUUAGAUACCCUAUUAUUCAUCUCUGCAGAAGCAAAGCCAGGUAAGUAGUUGUUAUUUACUUAAAAAUUAAAAAAUUUGGCGGUGGUCUAAUCUUGUCAGAGGAACUUGUCUUUUAAACGAUACACCCCGAAGUAUCUUACUUGCUUUAGUACAAACCAGUUUGUAUACCGUCAUCUUAAUCAAUCUUAUAAAGAGAGUAGAAUUGGUGAAUAAAAAUUAAUUAAAAAAAUUAGAUCGUGGUGCAGCAUAUAGGCAAGUUAAGGUGAGUUACAAUAAAGCGAUUUAAACGGAUUUAAGCUUGAAAGGAGGUUCUUAAAGGAGGAUUUGAUUGUAAUUCUAGUUUAACAAGGUAGAGAUAUAUAAGCACUAGACUAUGUACAUAUCGCCCGUCGCUUUCGU